AGGGAAAUAGAGCACGUUUAUCUUGCACGACGACUUGUAGAUGGCGGGUGGCUUCCAGUACACCUCGCCGGUGUACUUGACGGUUGCCUUGGUCAUGAGCGUCACCUCGUAGUUUCCGUCGGCGCUUUGGAGAAAUGGAGAGAGAAGACUAUGUCGGGGAGCCAGAUGUGUUCAGAUGGCACGUACAGUUCUUCAACUCCUCCAUAAUGGUCUGGGUUCCACCGUAGUUUGUAAUCGACCCAUUUCUGUUUCAAGGAUCAAAUGUUUGAUUAUUGCACUUGAAUAU
Molecule: long non-coding RNA, 286 nt
Organism: Frankliniella occidentalis (western flower thrips)
Lineage: Eukaryota; Metazoa; Arthropoda; Insecta; Thysanoptera; Thripidae
Exons: 2
Source: RefSeq, a predicted model, not a curated record